UACGUAGGGGGCUAGCGUUGUUCGGAAUUACUGGGCGUAAAGCGCGCGUAGGCGGACCUGCAAGUCGGGGGUGAAAGCCCGAGGCUCAACCUCGGAACUGCCUUCGAUACUGCGGGUCUCGAGUCCGGGAGAGGUGAGUGGAAUUCCUAGUGUAGAGGUGAAAUUCGUAGAUAUUAGGAAGAACACCAGUGGCGAAGGCGGCUCACUGGCGCGGUACUGACGCUGAGGCGCGAAAGCGUGGGGAGCAAACAGG
RNAcentral lists this ribosomal RNA (253 nucleotides) under uncultured bacterium. RNAcentral's name for it is "partial 16S ribosomal RNA". It matches the Rfam family "Bacterial small subunit ribosomal RNA", at positions 524 to 776 of the family's 1533-position model. The record is from RNAcentral.